Oncorhynchus kisutch (coho salmon) is the source of this 675-nucleotide long non-coding RNA. RefSeq lists it as uncharacterized. Lineage: Eukaryota; Metazoa; Chordata; Actinopteri; Salmoniformes; Salmonidae. The record is from RefSeq and is a predicted model, not a curated record. The transcript is spliced from 3 exons.
UCUCCCUGCAGACAUAUCACUUUUGGGCUCAAGCACUGUAAGAGAGGGAGAGGAUGUGGAUUUCCAAUGUACUAUUAUUAGAACCCCCCAGAGAAUAGAAAUGACCAGUCACUCUUACCUCUGCAAGAACGGCACUGCUGUUCAGAUGGAGGAGUUUGAUGUGAAUCUGAUGGAGGCAACUUUUACAAUUAAAAGUGUUAUUAACAAUGACUUGAUCUGCAAUCAAAACCCCUGGAUUAUACAGGCAGGAAGUUAUAUGGAAACAAUUCAGCCUUUCUUCAGGUUAAUGAGGCUGCACAUGAUGUGAGACUUGUCAAUGUAAUCCAAUUGAUAAAUUCAGCUGUUGUGGUGCUACUUCUACUGACUACGCAGCAACUGAAGGGCCUAAAGCAGAAGCCGUGUACCAGACCACACACAUAGACAGGUUGUUGUCAGUACAUUUAACAACGGCAAGAUGCAAUCUAUUUUCAAGCCACACAUUACAUGUGGACUGUUGAUCUUGCAAUAUCUGUCUUGUCUACUCACUCCUGGCAUGCUGUAGUUUAAUGUAGUGGACAUUACUAUUUGUCAACUCCACAUUUUCAUUAUGUUGAUGACUGACACACUCAGUAUUCCAUUUCAUGUUUUACUCGUGCACUAGUUGAGCUACUGAGCUCGUGAACAACAAUGUAUGGA